This is a small nuclear RNA of Mesoplodon densirostris (Blainville's beaked whale), 110 nucleotides long. The record is from RefSeq and is a predicted model, not a curated record. Lineage: Eukaryota; Metazoa; Chordata; Mammalia; Artiodactyla; Ziphiidae.
GUGCUCGCUUUGGCAGCACAUAUACUAAAAUUUGAACAAUACAGAGAAGAUUAGCACGGUCCCUGCGCAAGGAUGACAACACGCAAAUUCGUGAAGCGUUCCUAGAGGAG